UUUAAAGAAAGCGUAAUAGCUCACUGGUCGAGUCGGCCUGCGCGGAAGAUGUAACGGGGCUAAACCAUGCACCGAAGCUGCGGCAGCGACACUAUGUGUUGUUGGGUAGGGGAGCGUUCUGUAAGCCGUUGAAGGUGUAUUGUGAGGUAUGCUGGAGGUAUCAGAAGUGCGAAUGCUGACAUAAGUAACGAUAAUGCGGGUGAAAAACCCGCACGCCGGAAGACCAAGGGUUCCUGUCCAACGUUAAUCGGGGCAGGGUGAGUCGACCCCUAAGGCGAGGCCGAAAGGCGUAGUCGAUGGGAAACAGGUUAAUAUUCCUGUACUUGGUGUUACUGCGAAGGGGGGACGGAGAAGGCUAUGUUAGCCGGGCGACGGUUGUCCCGGUUUAAGCAUGUAGGCGGAGGUUCCAGGUAAAUCCGGUACCUUUUUAACGCUGAGGUGUGAUGACGAGGCACUACGGUGCUGAAGUAACAAAUGCCCUGCUUCCAGGAAAAGCCUCUAAGCAUCAGGUAACACGAAAUCGUACCCCAAACCGACACAGGUGGUCAGGUAGAGAAUACCAAGGCGCUUGAGAGAACUCGGGUGAAGGAACUAGGCAAAAUGGUGCCGUAACUUCGGGAGAAGGCACGCUGAUAUGUAGGUGAAGUGAUUUACUCAUGGAGCUGAAAUCAGUCGAAGAUACCAGCUGGCUGCAACUGUUUAUUAAAAACACAGCACUGUGCAAACACGAAAGUGGACGUAUACGGUGUGACGCCUGCCCGGUGCCGGAAGGUUAAUUGAUGGGGUUAUCCGUAAGGAGAAGCUCUUGAUCGAAGCCCCGGUAAACGGCG
This 830-nucleotide ribosomal RNA is filed under the name Citrobacter freundii. RNAcentral's name for it is "bacterial LSU rRNA". It matches the Rfam family "Bacterial large subunit ribosomal RNA", at positions 1122 to 1932 of the family's 2925-position model. Lineage: Bacteria; Pseudomonadati; Pseudomonadota; Gammaproteobacteria; Enterobacterales; Enterobacteriaceae. The record is from RNAcentral.